Molecule: ribosomal RNA, 253 nt
Filed under: uncultured bacterium
Lineage: Bacteria
Description: partial 16S ribosomal RNA
Rfam family: Bacterial small subunit ribosomal RNA
Source: RNAcentral
UACGUAGGGGGCAAGCGUUGUCCGGAUUUAUUGGGCGUAAAGAGCGUGUAGGCGGCCAGGUAGGUCCGUUGUGAAAACUCGAGGCUCAACCUCGAGACGUCGGCGGAAACCCUCUGGCUAGAGUCCGGAAGAGGAGAGUGGAAUUCCUGGUGUAGCGGUGAAAUGCGCAGAUAUCAGGAGGAACACCGGUGGCGAAGGCGGCUACCUGGACAGAGUCUGACGCUGAGGCACGAAAGCUAGGGGAGCAAACAGG